This 836-nucleotide ribosomal RNA is filed under the name uncultured delta proteobacterium. Its description in RNAcentral is "bacterial SSU rRNA". It matches the Rfam family "Bacterial small subunit ribosomal RNA", at positions 102 to 916 of the family's 1533-position model. The record is from RNAcentral. Lineage: Bacteria; Deltaproteobacteria.
ACGGGUGAGUACGCGUGGGUAUCUACUCGAAUGGGGAUACAUUGCGAAAGCGAUGCUAAUACCGGAUAAUAUCUUCAAACUUCGGUUUCUAAGAUCAAAGGUGGCCCUCUACAUGUAAGCUACUGUUGGGAGAUGAGCCCGCGUACCAUUAGCUUGUGGGUAGGGUAAUGGCCUACCAAGGCUACGAUGGUUAGCUGGUCUGAGAGGAUGAUCAGCCACACUGGAACUGACACACGGUCCAGACUCUUACGGGAGGCAGCAGUGAGGAAUUUUGCGCAAUGGGGGAAACCCUGACGCAGCAACGCCCGCGUGAGUGAUGAAGGCUUUUAGGGUCGUAAAGCUUCUGUCAAGUGGGAAGACCCUAUUUUGUGUUAAUACCACAAAAUACUGACGGUACCACUGAAGGAAGCACCGGCUAACUCCGUGCCAGCAGCCGCGGUAAUACGGGGGGUGCAAGCGUUAUUCGGAAUCAUUGGGCGUAAAGAGCGCGUAGGCGGCCUGGUAAGUCAGAUGUGAAAGUCCGGGGCUCAACCCCGGAAGGGCAUUUGAAACUAUCAGGCUUGAGUAUGGGAGAGGGAAGUGGAAUUCCUGGUGUAGAGGUGAAAUUCGUAGAUAUCAGGAGGAACACCGGUGGCGAAGGCGACUUCCUGGACCAAUACUGACGCUGAGGCGCGAAGGCGUGGGGAGCAAACAGGAUUAGAUACCCUGGUAGUCCACGCAGUAAACGUUGAUCACUAGGUGUAGCGGGUAUUGACCCCUGCUGUGCCGCAGUUAACGCAUUAAGUGAUCCGCCUGGGGAGUACGACCGCAAGGUUAAAACUCAAAUGAAUUGACGG